Molecule: long non-coding RNA, 2031 nt
Filed under: Homo sapiens (human)
Lineage: Eukaryota; Metazoa; Chordata; Mammalia; Primates; Hominidae
Description: uncharacterized LOC105370697 (LOC105370697)
Source: RNAcentral
CUCUUCCAUGCUGGCUGCAGUCUGGGAGGCGUUGGGCCCAGCUUGGCCUGUGAAAGCUGAAAGCCCACACCCCCUAGUCAGAGGCUGGUUUAGCUACUCCCCUAGUUUAGCUACUCUUGGGGCAGUGAAGGCCCUGGGGCUCGAAGACCUCCCCAGGCAACCUUACCCUGCACACACCCCACUCCUCCUGGCCUGUUCAGGGGUGGUCCCUGGUCUCCGUGCUCCUUGGCACAGGCCAGUGCCCUCUACCUCUGCCACCACAUCCCUGGCAGUGGAGGUCCAAGUCCUGGCUGUCCCCCCUCUCACCAGUGGGGCCAGGGAUCCUGGCUCUACCCGCUAUGACUUGGUUCAAUGGCCCAUCGCCUCUGCAACUGACUCUGAGGGCAUUGGAGCAGACAUCAAGCCCCACCCUGCCCAGGCCCAUGCCUGGCACCUGGUUUCCACGACGAGGCGCAGCUGUGGCUCCGACUGUGGCAGGGCUGGGAAGCAGGGGGCCUUUGUCAGGCUCACGGCCUGAGGUUUCUGGCCUCUGUGAUCUCCCCUGGGAACAGGACGGGGACCGGGCCGCACUCCAGCCUGCCCUUCGUGAGUUUCCUGAGGUGUCCUGCAAUGGCCAGAUUCGACGGAGAAGCCAGUCAGCUCCCUUGUCCCCUCACUGAUUCCUGGCACUCUGCUCCCUCUCGUGGCCUAGUCUGCCUCUACACCAGCAGAGACCUCCCUGCCCUGCGGCCACCAGGAAUCCAUGCAGCGUGCAUGCCCCACCAUAGCUCCACCGCCACCAGGAAUUCAGGUGCUGCUGAAGCUGCAUCAAGAAAGCCCCAGCCCAGUCGCCUCCCCUAGAUGAAUGAGAGUGAGCUCUUUUCUAAUUGUGAAGGACAUGGCAGAUUGUAGCUGUGAAGACACUGUCAGGUCACUCUGUGGAAGUUUGAGGUGAGCCCUUCCAGGGUCACCUGGCCAUGGAGGACCCAGGCUCAGCCCAUCUUUCUUCACCAUCUGGGGGGGUUGGUGAUGGAGCCACAACAGCAGCGAGCAUCACAUUGUCUCAAAAUGUCAUCCGCGUGAGGGAAGGAGGGACGGCUCCUCCUUGGGUGCCUCCCUCUCCUUGGGAGGAAAACCCUUCUCAGAAGCCCCCAGAAUGUGUCUGCUGAGGUCCUGUGGUCCAGAGCUUGUUCCAGGACAAUGUGUACACUUCCGCUGGCAGGGGACAUGGGUGUCAUGACUGGCUGCCUGCCCACAGGUGAGCCCGUGGUAUCAUGGAUGCCCCAGAAGACACGAGACUCGUGGGUCUGAGACAAAGGGCCCUGUUUCUCAGCAUGAGCUUCAGCUGUGGCUCCUCUUGCCUACAAUCCCGUGGGGGCGACGGGAGUGCCUGGCGAUGCAGCACACACAGCUGGCAGGAGCCCACCCUCCCUCUGCCAUUACCCAGGAGGCCGCAGUGUGACAUCAAAAAUACUCUGCAACUUGGCCCAGGUUCACAUUCUGCAAAAGCUGUGAGCUUGCAAAUUGCCUUUGAUCCUAUAAGAGCCAUCAUGGUGAUCAAUUUCUUUCUACACAACGCCAGCACAUAUUUAACCCCCCACACGGAGCAACGUCCAGUUUAACCCGCACAGCAGCAACCCAGCCUCCAGCUCUGUCUCACCAAGCACGUGUCAACAAUUCUCUUCCUAGGUGAUUCCAGCAGCACAGCCUGGCAGCUCCUGAGCCCUUGGGAAGUUCUGCAGCUCGGCUUACCCAGGGCUGCCCUGGCCAAAGCCCCAGCCACUCUCCUUUACUGCAGAGAGCGGGACCGUGUCCCCCUUCAUCCCCCUAGAACGGUAGGGCUGGGAGCUGCGUCAGACCUGCCUCCACGUGCCUGUGGGAAGAGACGUCGGAGUCUGAUCGCAGACACAAGAAGAUCAGUCACCCAAAAAGAUAAAAUAUACUCGAACUUCCGACCCUUCAUCUUCCUUUCAGAACACACUCACAUUUUCUAUAGGAAAACAGCCUCAUAAUAAUAAAAACUCAAUUUAGCGAAAAAAAAAAAAAAAAAAA